Molecule: ribosomal RNA, 465 nt
Filed under: uncultured bacterium
Lineage: Bacteria
Description: partial 16S ribosomal RNA
Rfam family: Bacterial small subunit ribosomal RNA
Source: RNAcentral
CCUACGGGAGGCAGCAGUGGGGAAUAUUGCGCAAUGGGCGAAAGCCUGACGCAGCGACGCCGCGUGAGGGAUGAAGGUCUUCGGAUCGUAAACCUCUGUCAGCAGGGAAGAACGGUCACUGUGCUAAUCAGCAGUGAAUUGACGGUACCUGCAAAGGAAGCACCGGCUAACUCCGUGCCAGCAGCCGCGGUAAUACGGAGGGUGCGAGCGUUAAUCGGAAUUACUGGGCGUAAAGCGCUCGUAGGCGGUAUGUCAAGUCAAGGGUGAAAGCCCCGCGCUCAACGUGGGAACUGCCUUUGAAACGGGCAAACUGGAGUGUGUGAGAGGAUAGUGGAAUUCCAGGUGUAGGAGUGAGAUCCGUAGAUAUCUGGAGGAACAUCAGUGGCGAAGGCGACUAUCUGGCACAUAACUGACGCUGAGGAGCGAAAGCGUGGGUAGCAAACAGGAUUAGAUACCCCUGUAGUC